Molecule: RNA transcript, 4103 nt
Organism: Halichondria panicea
Lineage: Eukaryota; Metazoa; Porifera; Demospongiae; Suberitida; Halichondriidae
Gene name: tyrosine-protein kinase receptor Tie-1-like
Exons: 5
Source: RefSeq, a predicted model, not a curated record
ACCGCCCUUCCUAGAUCCUUGCAAGAUGGCUGAAAUGUCUGAAGUGGAUCUGGAUGCUCUAGUGCAGUGGUCCAGGUGGAGGGACUGGGCCUGGAAGAAAACAAAGUGGGCUCUGGGGCCUAUGGAAUAGUCUUCAAAGUCACAGUCAACGGAAAAAAGUGUAUUGCAAAGAAACUUCACAAUAUCUUGCUCCAAGCUGGCAACUACUACCCUCAUGCCCCCACUCAGCAGAGGGAGUUCAUUGUGAGAAAAUUCCGCAAGGAGUGUUGCAUUCUGAAGAGUUUGGAUGAUCCCAACGUGGUCAGCUUUGAGGGAGUCCAUUACGGCCAUGACAAGAACGACAUCAGUCUGAUAAUGGAGAGGCUUCAUUCUGACCUGGCCGACUUUGUCAAGAAGAAUCCCAGCACAAACCUUGCCACUAGAAUCCACAUUCUGUACGAUGUAUCUAAGGGCCUUCGCUACCUUCACUCUCUGACCCCUCCCCUCAUCCACCGAGAUCUCACUGCUCCCAACAUCCUGCUCACUGAGGACCUCACUGCCAAGAUCGGAGACCUGGGCGUGUCCAGGUAUGUGGAUCCAACAGUGCCCACCAUCUUGUCCACUAAUCCGGGACACCUCUUCUACAUGUCUCCGGAAAGCCAGGAAGAGAAUCCCGUUUACACCACCAAGCUAGACAUCUUCUCUUUCGGCAAUCUCAUCAUCCACACCGUCAUCGGGGACUUGCCUAAGGUGUACAGAAUUUCAGCCAGUGAUCCCAAUGAAGCAUUGUACAAGCGUGAGGGGAAAAUAGAGCUGAUGAGAAGAAACACAUCCGUCCAUGUUAAAAUGGGGGAGGAUCACACUCUUUAUCCUCUCGUUGUUCGUUGCCUCUACGACCGACCCGAGCAGAGACCAGCAGUUGAGGAAGUGAGCAGCUCACUCAGAGAGCUGUGUCACAGGCACCCCAGAAUGGCAAUUGACAUUUGUUACUAUGAUGCCCUUUACUCGUGCAGUCACUCCUGGAAGCAUACAAGGCUGGUAAUGUGGGUGUGGUUCAGGAGCUACUGGACGGUGGGGCUGAUCCCAACCAGGCUGAUGAGAAGAAUAACAGAACUGUUGUUUGCUGGGCCAGUGAGAAUGGACAUGAUGAGGUGGUGAUGGUCCUUAUUCGAGCUGGAGCUAAUGUCAACACUCUAGACAAGUGGAGACAGUCCCCUCUCUGGUUAGCCAAUUUAUAUGGUCACCAGAAGUGUGUGCAGCUUUUACUUUAAGCUAGGGCCAUUGUUGAUGUACAAAAAGAGGUGAGUGUACGAGUCAGUGUAGUUGUAUCUAAACAACCAUAAGCUAUAGUAACUGCCAUCGUAGCCGUGCAUGUUAUAACUUCACCUUUGUACUCAGGUAGGUUAAGGACUGGGACCAACUGGGACCAGCAAUUAUUGCUGAAUCAGCUAAAACGCAGCCACGCCCACGAUUUUUAAUAUGUUUUGUGUGUAAAAAAUUAGUUUAGCUACUUAUCUUUUUUAGUUCUAAUUCCGGAGGUCUAAACCUUCCUUUCAGCUCUAAAUUUUUAGUGUAGUAGGUAGUUCAAAGGUUUGUGCAGACUAUUCAAUCGGGAGGGAGCUGUUCAUUCAGCCAAAGGUGAGAUUUUGCAAAAAACGUAGUUUUCUAGCUGUUAAUUUUAAAUGUAAAAGCUAAUAACUUACUUUGCAUAGAGUACCAUGCUUCCUCCCGAUUGAAUAAUCUGCACAAACAAGUAUCUUACUUUUUUCAUGUCGAAAUAACACAUGCUAUGCAAUGUGCGCAAGAUUAUAUCUACGUACUUCAUUCAAAAAUCGUUUGGAGUCUCUACAAGGAAUAACUGUAUAUCUUCUAAUUCAUCGAACACUUCCAGACACUUUUGGGAAAUUUUCGUUGUUCUAAUACAGUGGACACUUCAUUUCAUUUUCAAUUUUGCGUUUUUCGAGGGUAGAGCAGUAAUGCGAAAAAUACAACCAGGAUAAACUCCUACAUACCGAUAUGUUCACAUGCAAAGCUAUUGGUGGUCCUGGCAUUGAAACGCGAGUAUUAGAACCCACGAAAUUUCUGCUGAGGGCUCUGGAGCCAAAUAGCGAAAAUUUGCACCCGCGAAAUUUUCCCACUAUACGGUACCUUGAAAAGUUGAGACACAUUCGAUCCAAGCAACAUAGCUUUAUAGCCAGCAAGGGUGCUGCAAGUUAGAUAGCUCUUCAGUCGCACACUAGCUGUUCUAUUAAACUUAGCUAGCUCGCAUACAACUGCAUGCUUCUUCUGGAUACUUUGCGUGCUCUAUAAAGAUCUGUUCCAAUUAUGCCCGGACAAUUUACAAAAUAAAUGUUUGCUGUCCGAUAACUAUACGGUACAUACAUCUACAAACAGUCCUUACCAAAACUGUAUUGACUGUAUGCAAAAAACUACCAGCGACAAACGUACAUAUGAAUGAGGCUGUAACGGACGGGAGUUAUGCUCUGCUCUCUAGUUUCUAUGCUUUUUGGUGUUUCUCCCCGGCCAAUCCUAGAAAUUUUUCACAUUGCAAGAAAUAAUGACUUUAGAUCUACAAACAGUCCUUAGCAAAACGUUUGCUAGCCAUAUCACACAACUAGUGCAUUAUAGAUCCAGCUGAAAUGGUACAAAACACAAGAGUACAAAAUAAACGCACAGUACAGAUGCUAGCGUGCGUACGUGGUAGAGUACCAUAAGCGUACUUUCAGCACUUAUUUUGCUCCUUAUUAACGUGCUACGUACAUACUACGUAAACAUAACGGGAACUGUAUAUUGACCGCUACUGUAUGUAUGUGUCAUUGGUUGUAGAAACAGACCUCUUUAGACUGCACGUGCGCAACUGGAUUGAACUACAGUAUUUUUUGAAACAUAGCGCUUUUCUAAUUAAGCACCACUUUGAUUCUCCCAUUAUCGUAAUUUCGCAAACUUAUUUUCGCGAACAGUGAGGUUUUACUUAAAAUACGUUCCUCACCCGCGACCUCGUUUCGAGGCUUGUGGCCUAGCUGUGAUAUCAUUUCACUGAUAGCAUGCAGUUACCAUACAAAUGAAUUGUUUCUUGUGCAUUAACGUUACAUGUACAAUUACAUGUACAAUGUCAUUGAACUAUCAAACACAUUCUAAUGCCAUAUACAAGGAACAGCAGGUACAUAACCUGCGGCAAAAUUGGGUGAUCGAAAUUGUUCUGAGAUUUGGGAUAAAGGACGUAUAGUUGUUCCCUGCAUAUACUUCUUGGAGGGAAACAGAAAAACUUAUUAUAUCCGCUCUUGAUACCUACUCACUAAAUAAAACUACUUUUCUUCACUAAACCACACCGCGUAAUUAUUGUGAACACAUGGUAUUUAUCUACUGCACAUGCUCACACUCAAAGGAACUUAAUUGCGAAUAAGACUAAAAUCGUACUCGCUCAUGCGUAAUUGGAGAGCGUUAUGAAUGUCAUUGAAGCAUGGAUUUUUCCAUCUUCAGCAACAAUUUUCAUUCGCAUGCCCUUUCUGUGUGCACCACUCUUUGUACAUGCUUUCUAUCAACACAGAACAAACACUUCAUUUGCUGGUCUCUCUCUAGCACUGUCCUUGGAAUGCCUGAUCUGCAAUGUAAUUUAACUUCUCUUUCUACCGCAAGAGAUACUAAAAGAGUAUUAUUUACCGCAUUCAACAAGAUGUCCAUACAUUGACUCAACACAAAGUCCAUGUGAUCACAAAAGAAUAUCACGAUCAAGCACAAAGUAGUGUUUAUGUAGUGAGGUAGCUAGUUAGGAGUUUGGCAAGAAUGCUGCUAUUCAUAUAUAUCGUAUAGCGUGUAAUUUUCGUGGGGCAAAAUAUUCGUGGUUUUCGUGGUUGGAGGUCUGACCACGAAUAUUUUACCCACGAAUGAAGCGACCUUGCCUACCUUUACCUGCAGUGCAAGCUCCAACCACGAAAAUAUUACCCACGAAAUGUCUCAAUAUUGCUGAACCACGAAUAUUUUGUCCCCCGCCCCCGAAAAUUACCCGCUAUACGGUACAUUCCUAGUUCAACAGGACUCCUCUGAUGUCUGCUGCCAAAAAUGGACACUCUGCCAUUGUCCGUCACCUUCUCUCCUGUGGAGCUGACCCCAACCUCAGGAACAAG